AACCAACAGGGAUUGCCCUAGUAACGGCGAGUGAAGCGGCAACAGCUCAAAUUUGAAAUCUGGCCUUCGGGUCCGAAUUGUAAUUUGUAGAGGAUGCUUUUGGUUAGGUACCUUCCGAGUUCCCUGGAACGGGACGCCUUAGAGGGUGAGAGCCCCGUACGGUUGGAUGCCGAGCCUCUGUAAAGCUCCUUCGACGAGUCGAGUAGUUUGGGAAUGCUGCUCUAAAUGGGAGGUAAAUUUCUUCUAAAGCUAAAUACCGGCCAGAGACCGAUAGCGCACAAGUAGAGUGAUCGAAAGAUGAAAAGUACUUUGAAAAGAGGGUUAAACAGCACGUGAAAUUGUUGAAAGGGAAGCGUUUAUGACCAGACUUUUUCUAGGCGGAUCAUCCGGUGUUCUCACCGGUGCACUUCGUCUAGUUUAGGCCAACAUCGGUUUCUGUAGGGGGAUAAAAUCGGUAGGAACGUAGCUCCUUCGGGAGUGUUAUAGCCUGCCGAAUAAUACCUUUACGGGGACCGAGGUUCGCGCUCUGCAAGGAUGUUGGCAUAAUGGUCAUCAACGACCCGUCUUGAAACACGGACCAAGGAGUCGAACAUUUGUGCGAGUGUUUGGGUGUUAAACCCUCACGCGUAAUGAAAGUGAACGGAGGUGAGAGCCCUUCGGGGUGCAUCAUCGACCGAUCCUGAAGUUUACGGAUGGAUUUGAGUAAGAGCAUAACUGUUCGGACCCGAAAGAUGGUGAACUAUGCGUGGAUAGGGUGAAGCCAGAGGAAACUCUGGUGGAGGCUCGCAGCGGUUCUGACGUGCAAAUCGAUCGUCAAAUCUGCGCAUGGGGGCGAAAGACUAAUCGAACCAUUAAAACCAGCGGUAAUUUAAUUUACUAGGUGGUUA
RNAcentral lists this ribosomal RNA (887 nucleotides) under Amphisphaeria micheliae. Its description in RNAcentral is "partial large subunit ribosomal RNA". It matches the Rfam family "Eukaryotic large subunit ribosomal RNA", at positions 63 to 980 of the family's 3401-position model. The record is from RNAcentral. Lineage: Eukaryota; Fungi; Ascomycota; Sordariomycetes; Amphisphaeriales; Amphisphaeriaceae.